GGGCCUGUAGCUCAGUCGGUUAGAGCAGAGGACUCAUAAUCCUUUGGUCCAGGGUUCGAGCCCCUGCGGGCCUACCA
RNAcentral lists this transfer RNA (77 nucleotides) under Azomonas agilis. RNAcentral's name for it is "tRNA-Met". It matches the Rfam family "tRNA". From Rfam's summary of the family: Transfer RNA (tRNA) molecules are approximately 80 nucleotides in length. Their secondary structure includes four short double-helical elements and three loops (D, anti-codon, and T loops). The record is from RNAcentral. Lineage: Bacteria; Pseudomonadati; Pseudomonadota; Gammaproteobacteria; Pseudomonadales; Pseudomonadaceae.